Molecule: non-coding RNA, 113 nt
Organism: Crenichthys baileyi (White River springfish)
Lineage: Eukaryota; Metazoa; Chordata; Actinopteri; Cyprinodontiformes; Goodeidae
Source: the annotation of a GenBank genome assembly
GUGGCGCAGUUGGUAGCACUGUUGCCUUGCAGCAAGAAGGUGUUGUGUGUUGUGGCGCAGUUGGUAGCACUGUUGCCUUGCAGCAAGAAGGUCCUGGGUUCGAUUCCCGGCCA